GACGAACGCUGGCGGCGUGCUUAACACAUGCAAGUCGAACGGAAAGGCCCUGCUUUUGUGGGGUGCUCGAGUGGCGAACGGGUGAGUAACACGUGAGUAACCUGCCCUUGACUUUGGGAUAACUUCAGGAAACUGGGGCUAAUACCGGAUAGGAGCUCCUGCUGCAUGGUGGGGGUUGGAAAGUUUCGGCGGUUGGGGAUGGACUCGCGGCUUAUCAGCUUGUUGGUGGGGUAGUGGCUUACCAAGGCUUUGACGGGUAGCCGGCCUGAGAGGGUGACCGGCCACAUUGGGACUGGGAUACGGCCCAGACUCCUACGGGAGGCAGGAGUGGGGAAUAUAGCACAAUGGGCGGAGGCCUGAUGCAGCAACGCCGCGUGCGGAUGACGGCCUUCGGGUUGUAAACCGCUUUCGCCUGUGACGAAGCGUGAGUGACGGUAAUGGGUAAAGAAGCACCGGCUAACUACGUG
Molecule: ribosomal RNA, 467 nt
Filed under: uncultured bacterium
Lineage: Bacteria
Description: partial 16S ribosomal RNA
Rfam family: Bacterial small subunit ribosomal RNA
Source: RNAcentral